This 87-nucleotide transfer RNA is filed under the name Minisyncoccota bacterium. Its description in RNAcentral is "tRNA-Ser". It matches the Rfam family "tRNA". From Rfam's summary of the family: Transfer RNA (tRNA) molecules are approximately 80 nucleotides in length. Their secondary structure includes four short double-helical elements and three loops (D, anti-codon, and T loops). Further hydrogen bonds mediate the characteristic L-shaped molecular structure. tRNAs have two regions of fundamental functional importance: the anti-codon, which is responsible for specific mRNA codon recognition, and the 3' end, to which the tRNAs corresponding amino acid is attached (by aminoacyl-tRNA synthetases). tRNAs cope with the degeneracy of the genetic code in two manners: having more than one tRNA (with a specific anti-codon) for a particular amino acid; and 'wobble' base-pairing, i.e. permitting non-standard base-pairing at the 3rd anti-codon position. The record is from RNAcentral. Lineage: Bacteria; Bacillati; Minisyncoccota.
GGAGGUGUGGCUGAGAGGUUGAAAGCAUCACUUUCGAAAAGUGACAUACGGGAGACUGUAUCGUGAGUUCGAAUCUCACCACCUCCG